Non-coding RNA from Pangasius djambal, 71 nucleotides. NCBI's taxonomy places the organism in Eukaryota, Metazoa, Chordata, Actinopteri, Siluriformes, Pangasiidae. The record is from the annotation of a GenBank genome assembly.
UCCCUGGCGGACUGGUGGUUAGGCCUCGGCGCUCUCACCUCCAUGGCCCGGUUCGAUUCCCUGCCAGGGAA